UACGAGACAGAAGCACGGCAGAAAUAAGAAAGCGCUGGCAGGACUUCAUCAUUCGGGUUGCAACCCGAAUGAUAAAGUCCUGUCAGUCCUUUCUUAUUUCGACUGAGAACUGUUGUA
Marchantia polymorpha subsp. ruderalis is the source of this 117-nucleotide non-coding RNA. The record is from the annotation of a GenBank genome assembly. NCBI's taxonomy places the organism in Eukaryota, Viridiplantae, Streptophyta, Marchantiopsida, Marchantiales, Marchantiaceae.